This 28618-nucleotide long non-coding RNA is filed under the name Coffea arabica (coffee). Its description in RNAcentral is "long non-coding RNA (CARA_LNC001412)". Lineage: Eukaryota; Viridiplantae; Streptophyta; Magnoliopsida; Gentianales; Rubiaceae. The record is from RNAcentral.
AGAGUCAGAAAGUGUAUUAAGCGUAUCAUGUUUGGCAUUAUAUAUGUGAAAUGAUGAAAAGCAAACUGUAAAAUUAUUUAAGCAAUCUGACUGGAGCCUAGGUCUGGCUCAAGGAAUAAUAUAUUUUUCAUUAGUUUAUUUUGCCAAGUAAAAAUGGCUUAUUUAAUCCACAAUCAGCAGUUAUAACCAAGUUACAACCGAAUAACGAAUAACAAGGAAGCCUACCGUCCCAGCACUUGAAUAAUGUGAACCAUAGUGAAAUUUUGGUAUCACCGGAUCAUCAAAACUGGAGUACCUCUCUUGGAACUUCGUUAAACGAUCAGCAUUUAAUGCACCAAUGGGCUGCAAGGAUAGAAAAUUAUCAAAUUUUGGUGGAAAGGCAACACUUUAAGUUGGAGCAAAAGUUGGAAAGCACUUCACCUUAGAAAGGUCACGAUAAGAAGAAGGAUUCGAGAGAUCCAAUGUGCUUGAACUGUAAUCUGAAAGAAUCCAAGGGAAAACUGGAUACUGCACGAUGGAGCAUAACUUAGUAAUUGAAACGAGAUGACUUCUUUAGACAAACGUCAGAAAGCAAAAUUUUCACCAAUGGAAGAAGGAAAGAUUUUACCUGUGUGAUAUCAUUAUAGCUGCGCCCAGCCAAUGUGUUAAGCUGCAUGAGAUAUUCAAAAUUGCUGAUCUGCAAAGGAUACACCAAUUAGCAGGUUCUCUGACAAUUUAACAGGAAAAAAGAAAAAGAGACACGGUUUGUAGAGCCUAGUCAGAUGAAGUGUUAUUCAAGGGUCAUUCUUCUGACAGACCUCCCACCUAGCCCAGCGUUCCAUAAGUUGGGUUCUCUUCAGAAGUUGUUCAGGUCUCUGCAAAAGAAGAGGAUUGUCUUAGUCCCUACCGUAAACAAGAAUCAGGUGUUCUUUUAUCGGUUAGUGCGUGUGUCAACCGGCAUGUAUAGACAUGUUUAAGAGUGCUCAAGCCCACAUAACACAAUCAUGCCAUAGCACAGGAAGAGCAUAUGUUGCAUUGCCCAAUGGGCAGGUUAGCGGCUGCAGAAUCAUCAGUACAACCAGGAAUUUUUAGCUUAUCAUCAUACAAGAGGUGAGAAAUAAAUAAAUAGAUAAAUACUGCAAGACAAGAUAACCUGAGUUGCCAGGUAAAUAUUGUUCAAAUGAGGCGGACGAGCUUGAACAAUAGCUCGAUAGGCAUUUCGUCUUCCAUCUGUGCUCUGAAACAAAUGAACCAAUUUAGAGACCAAUUAGCUGGAAACAGUCUGUAAGGGGUUCAAGUAUUGAAGCAAACAUGUUCUCAAAAGUAGUACCCCAAAGUCAAAGAAGAAGUUUGAACGAUCAACCAUAAAUAACUCCAAUGCACUUCUUCUCAAGAGAUAUCUGAAUAGGAGUAAGAUCACAAGUGAGAUCUCUACAUUGUAAAUGGUGCAUAAAUCCACUUUCUAAACAAAUUUUGCAAGAGAGAAAUAAAAGAAAUAAGGAAAUCGAAAACAUGAUAAAAGAGUGUCACCAUCAAAUUGUGAGAGAGAGAGAGAGAGAGAACAAGGAAGAAGAUGAUAAUGAACCACUUAUUUGAUAAGAACAAUGGGGAAAGAAAAAUGCAUCAAAGUGUAACUGCUUUAACAAGAUAAAGCUACGUGUGUGUGUGUGUGUGUGAGAGAGAGAGAGAGAGAACAGGAGGAGGAAAUGAAUACAAGAUAGCAAAAUACUAAUUAGAGAUUAAAGAAAAUAGCUAUGUGAACAGUGUCAUCGAGGAAUGGCAUCCCAACAAAUUAUGAUAUGCACCACACAUAUCAGAAAAGACAUAAAAGAGAAAGAAAAAGAGCACAACACGUCAAAAUCAUUUUAGAUGCUCUACUAGAAAUCUGCGACUAAUAUAUUGCGAUAUUGACAGGGUUAGAGGAAAGCAAUAGAGGCAAAUGGACAUGGUCCAGCUGCAGCAUAUAUAGGGUAAAACAUGAAAUAAAAUUAUAGACAUCUUACCUUCUACUAUAUAUUUGAUGAAGAGAAGAUAUUAACCAGCUUCGAUCCUUUUCUUCAAUUUUUGUUUCAUUUCUGCAGUCCAACCCAUCCCCAGAAGUAUUACUCUCACUGCUAUCCACAAUAAAAUUGAUUCUUCUUGUUGUUAUCUGAAAAAGAGCAUGAAUUCAUCAAUUAGCACAAUUAAUAUGAGAUAAUCCUCAUAUGCAUGCAUCCAAACCCUGAAAUCCAACCUCAAAGUGCUCCAUCCUAGAGUAAUGUGCAUAGGUUGACUAUACCGUGCAUUACAAUUCUUUACCUUCUCUAAGCAUCGUAAUUGCCUAUGUAAUAGGCCUAAAAUAAAAUACCGACAAAUGGUAAUGUCAUAUCAAUUUGAGAAAUAUCCAUGGAAUUUUUGACAUCAAGGUUGGACAGAUCAGAAUAAAGAUAAAAUAUAUUGUAUUUCUUGGUCUGUCAUACAAGUGUAACAUAGAUAUGGCAGAUCCAAUGGAGAAAACGAAUCCAUUAACAGUAGUAUCAUUUAGGAAAAAUCACUUCCCUUGUCUUGUCCUACAUUGCUCAAAAAUUCUGCUUAGUACAUUGUCCUAAAUACCAAAAGUGAAGUGAAAUGGGAUGACCAUAUAGGAACCUUUUAAGAUUCCAAGAGAUAUAUUUCAAGGCAUCAAAAAAUUACUAUCUUUAGCUCUACAUGUGCAAAUCUAAAUAUAUAUUCUCUAAUUACCUCAACCAUAUACACCAAGCUCACAUACACAUUGUAGCAAACUAUGAUGUGAGUAGAAACAACAUACAUUCCUAGUUGCCAUAUGCUGCUAUUAAAGAUAAAGAUAUGUUGAACUUACUUGAAAAGUCCCUCUUAGUAUUUUUAGUGGGCGAACCAUUGAUGAAGGAAGUUCAAGGACAAUUCUUUCAUCAUGUUCACUUGGAACAUAACCUGGGGCAACUACGGCUGGAUUUUGUGCCAAAUCUUGGUUGUUUGUAACAGGGGCAUCUCUUGACUCCAAAGAUGUCCUCAGGGGCUGGUCUGCAGUUUCAGUUAUCCUUGACUGAAUGUCACCAUUCAGGUUUGUGUGUGUUGACUGACCCCCAGGAUUGGCACUGUCCUCUUGGUCAUCAUCUGCAUUCAAUACCUCGAUUGAGAUAGCCUCUGCAGCCAACAUAGAGGCCUUAGAUGGAGUUACAACACUAUCUUUAUCUUGCUUCAGCUCUGACGGUUCUUCAUAAUUUGCAGCAGCACCAAAAUGAUCCGAUCCAUGGUAAUUUCUUCUCAAGUAUCUCCUCAUCCUUGAAGAACUUUCCAUAAAAUCCAGCUUCCAGAAGAUCUGAAAGUCAAUAGUAUUAGUUACAUGUCUGAGGUAAAAAUUGAAUCAGAUGAAUGAAACUUUAAGUCCAGUCACAUACACGUUGCGGAUUGCACAAACGAUUACCAAAAGGCCCAAAGAGGCAUUCCAUAUCUAUCAAAUAGUGAAUCAGUUUCCGCCAUUCCCGAAUUCCAGUGCAUAGACGAUGGCGAGAAAUUACCUCAACUUGCAUGCGUCUAUCAACCUGAAAAACACAAGAAGAAAUAGUAAACACAUAUACAUUUCUUUCGUUUAAAGAAAGCCGACAAAAAAGAAAAAGAAAAAGGAAGCAGCAGGUGAAGGUACACAAUUUAAACCUCCAAUCUUUGCAUGUUUCUUGCUAAUGCUAAACUUCCAACAAGGACAGCAAUAAAUUUAUAUGAUAGGGCAUUAAAAUCUUUGCCAUAAACUGCUUUUGUAUCAACUGACUGCAAGCAUUCCAUCCAGGCAGUCCCCAUGGCAUCAGAAACAUUCCAUCGCUUUACACGCCCCAUAUCACUCUUAUUCCGACGCUGUGCAGAGGUAGCCAUUGCCACAGCACUGAGACCUCUUCCAGAACCAAUUUUUGCAUUGCGUUCAAGAUCUCUUGCAGCAGCCAAUGCAGCGGCCUUUGCUGCAGCCUUGUCCUUUGGUGCGGCAGGAGAUUUACUAGGUGCCUCCAGAGGCUUCUGAAAGCUCGAAAAAGUAUGAAGCCUAGUUGUUUUACGCUCGAGCAAUGACGAAUCACGCCUGAGAUGACUAGUUGUUGCAGAUACAGUUGUUUCCCCACCAGCAGCUCCAGCAGCAAUCAUCGCCAAACCCAUAGCAGCAGGUGGUGAUGCAAAAGCAGCAGCCCAGCUAGGAGAGAUCAUGGCAAGAGCAGCCUAGAUAAUAUGAAGGUGUUACGAUUGUUGGAAUCACAGAUAAGUAAAUAAUCAUAUAACAAAUUACUAGGAAAGAUAAAGUCUAUGACAAAGAAGAAUUGCAUAUUACAUGAUUAUGCAUUAGCAAAGAAUUUAAGAUAUCUCCUUUUAUGUCGGGAAAGAGAAGACUAAAUUCAAAGAUACUAACUACUAAUAUGUUCAAAGCAACUACCAGAAUUCUUGAUUAAAUGAGAUAGAUAGAAAGAUAGAUAGAUAGAUAGACAGAGAGAGAGAGAGAGAGAGAGAGAGAGAGCACAUCUUUUGCUGAACAAAAAGCAGCUGUCAUUGGCAACUUGGGGUGAAAAUUAUUCGACAUUGUUGAAAAUAUACUGAACUACAUUGUCUUCCUACUUUUCUGGGCCAAGGAGAGGGGGAAGGGAAGACUGAAGUGACAAAUUUGUGGUUGUUAGGAGGAAGGCUUUGCCAACCAACAAGAUGUCCCUUUGUGGUAACAAACUACAAAAAGCAUGUCUUUCAGAAAAGGAAGCAGAUGGAUGAAACUUGGUUCAGAAACUGAAAAAUGAUUCAAAAAAGCUUUUCUUCCAACUUGCUAUGUGUCCAUUGAAAUAUGACUGACUUCCCUGUAACUCUUCUAUGUGUCGUCGUAAAUAACCAUGAUAAGUGACAAAAGUGCAAAACAACCAACUCCCUCCAGCCAUCGACUCUUAUUUAUUUAGUUAUUUAUUUUAAGUAAUUUUCUGCUGGGAAGAUAACUUCUACACAAUAUUUAUGAAAAGGAUCAAUUACUCCUGAUAUGGACACAUUCGCCUUUGCUGUACAUUUUGCAAAGCUGAUUAUGGAACAUGAUUGUAAAGAAAAAUCAGAACCAGCUAAAGCUACUAUUGGGUAGAUUCAGAUUAUAGCUUUUGCGGCUAUAAAAAUCUAACACCCAAAUGCAAAAGUCAAAGAAAAUAUUUAAAAAAAAAACUAUUUUUCCAUAAUCAGAAUCUAAAAUCAAGUUAAAUAAUCAAAUGAGAACAGCAGGAAUGAUAAGUUGCGGCCUAUAAAACUCCAAAGUAGGAAAUGUUAUAGCAUUUCAACAAAUAUAGCAGCCACCAUAAUGUAAAAUGGAUUAGAAAUUGUUACUACCAGAAGCCUACCGAAUUGAUUUCAACUGUAAAAGAAGAGGAAGCGCUCUUCAAGGGCAGAGGGUAAAACAUGUUAUGAUGCAUUUAGGUCUAGACCCAAAUUACAUCAAAAUAGAAUUUUCCAAUUGAAAUUAGGAUAUAGCAGAGGUUAGUUCAGCUACCUCAAUAGGCAAAGCAUCUGCAGCCAAUGCACGGUCUUCUAGAACAAGAGGAUUCAAACCAUCAGCAGUAGCAAGUUCAUAAAUUCCAGCCAAAAGGGGUCGCCACCUCCUUAAAAGAGCAACAAAUGGUGGCAAUAUUGUCUCCAGAUACUGCUUACGCAGAGGAAUUCUAUCCCUGCUGACAGCAUGCCACACCUGCAAUAGACAUGCAAUUUUCACCAAAAAACAACAAAGUGAACCAAAUGCUUGUGUUCUCAUAAAGAAGCAAUGACAGUUGAACCCCAGCACCCCAAGAUGACAUCAAGUCAAUUCAAACAAAAGCAGCUAACUAUAUUGCAGGGCUGACCUCAGAAUACAGAAUACAUGCUGCAACCAACACUCUCUGCCUCUUGGACUCAGAAACUGGCAUGUUGAGGACAGGUGAGAGCACACUGUACAUAUUGAGUGACAAUCAGUUUGACACCAUGGAUUUGGUGAAAAGAAAAAAUUGGCAAGUCACAGGCAAGAAAGCUGAACAAAAUGUCCUGCUAAUAACUAAAUCAUCAAAUUCAUGUCAUUAAAUAAACAGUAAUUAAAUAAAUAAUUAAAAACAAAUCAAAAAGCCUAAUUAAGCAAUUGAACACAAUGCUGCACAAGUCUCCCAGUAUGCUGUUCAGAUUUAAAGCUUCCAACUAAGCAACCACUCCCAUACUUCUGUCACAAUCAAGUUUAAAGGACAAUUUAUAAAAAGUCUAUGAGUUGAAGGUGUUACGCAUCUUAUUACGUCCUUUAUCACAGCCAAGUUAGUGAAAAUAUACAGUCACCAGAUUCUGUAACCGAAAUUGGAGGCAAUAGUGCAACACCAAAAUUUGGCUAGCAGGAGACCUUUUACUUAUGUUUCCUCAAAUAUCAAAGAAUACAAAUGCUUCAAGAAGCCUUUUAUUUCCCAAGUGUGCACAUUUUGGGACUAAUGGUCUACAUUCUGAAGGAAGGAUAAGAAAGGAAUAAAAAGAUUAAGAGAUGCAAGUCACUCGUAUGAUUCCUCACACAGACUGAACUAAACAAGAAAAACAAAAUUCAAUUCCGACAAGUCGUAGAAUGCUGAGACAAAACGUACAGGUGGAUUCACUCGUAGAUAAGAAAAAAAAGAAAUGAUGCUGAAAACUUGCAGAAUAUGAUCUUCCACCUUUUCCCCUUAAUCUAUUAAUUACUUUCAAGCUACCUCAUGAUCUCCAGUAAUACUCAUCAUUUAGUUACAUUAGACUGAUGGUGGUGGAUUGUACGGUCCUGACUGUAGAUGGAAUUAUGUGUAAAAGGAAGUGCUUUUAGCUUCAGCAACAAGUGUGCAUAUUGAUUUACAUAUCUAAUAAUGCAACUUUCAGCCUACAGAUUAAAAAGCCUGACACUGAAAUUUGCAAGUUAAAGGAUUCAAGGCUACUGUGACUGGUACAUGAAGGGCAGGUGAAAAUAAGCCAGAAGUAGCAGAAAGCCAUUGAUCACCAAGAAAUAGGAAAAGCAAACAUUUUAGAAAGACUGUAGCUACAAAUUUUAACAAAGUAAAGGAAACAUGAUUAACAAAUAAUAAGUACAUACAAACAUCAACUAGAAAUAAGAACAGAAAGAACUGGUAGAAUAAAAACAGGACCAGCAUAGCAAAUACCUCCACAACAAUGAGGAUCGCGGUUUUCUUGAUGACAUUCGAGCAUUGACGUCAAAAGAUGCAAUAUUACUUGUUUGUCGACGUGAAACUUCUGAUGAGCCAUCCUCCACAUCUACGAGCAUGCUGUCCUUACCAUCAUCAUCUUCCCUCAACGAAACAAGCACCAUUCGAAGCAUGCACAAGAAGGGUUGAUCACUGUCUAGUAACUGGUAAAGCAGAGCCAUGCCCCCCAUUCCAGUACCAGAACCUCCUCCAAUACCUAGGCCUCCACCAAGUCCAGACUCAUCUAAUAACAAAGCUUGAAGCAUGAAAACAGACUUUUUUAUCAGAGGCAGUUCAAUCCAAUUGCCAUUUGCAUCUUUCUCCAGCGCUGAUUUCCAAGCUUCCCUGCCACUGCCACCACCACCAAAGGCUGAUGCAUUGGAAGGUUGGCCAACGCCAUACCACAAUCUACUCCUGUACUUCCAUCCUUCAGUUAAAUCCAUGACACAGCUUCCAUAGGACACAAAAGCACAGGCAACUGAUUCAUAAGGUUCAGCAGCUGCAGCAGCAGUAAGUCGUUCCAUAACAGCUGCAGAAAGUUGUCCGUUGGCAUCAGCCAUAGAAGCAAGAACCUAAGUUGAAAGGAAGAAAAAAUGCAUUUAACUUUUGAAAAGAAAAAAAAAUGUUCGGCAAAUCACUGGAACAAAUGCUAAACUAGAAAUUUGAGUCUCAAGCUAUAAAGGCCACUCAAUAAUGGAUAAUUUUCUGUGUAAACCUGUAGUGCAGCAUAUAAUGUCUGACCCAUAAAAGAUUAGCAAGACAAUCACUAGAGGACAGCAAUAUUCAUAACGGCAUAUGAAAUAAACUCAUCCUAUCAUUUGUGCUCACGAGGAACAAGUCUCAGAAUUUAAAACAGAAAACCACUAUGUUGCAGCUUUAAAGUUUGACAGCAGGCAAAAGCACCCAAAAAAAAAAAAACACAUAGUUUCUCUAAACACAUAGUAAGCAUUCAGCAUGAAUAGCCACAUAGCUCAUACAUACAUCUAAAGGUAGUCCUGCAGAAUCACCAGAUGAUGAUUUACGUUCAGCCAGAGUUUCUAGAGGUUCUCCAACUAUAGUUGAAGAGUGACCCACAGGCAAAACAGUUGAGAGAGGAGAAGGAGAGACAGCAGGGAAGCGUGAAGUCGUAUAGAUUUUGCUUUGCAAACGCAAAUGAUCUUCAACAAGCAUUAAGAUCACAAUAGCAUUCUCCACCAAAGCCACUGAAACUUGCGCAGCAUUUUCAGCUUCCAACUUUGCUAACUUGGGUGCUAGCCCCUCAGCUGCCACACCAGCAGAAGCCGCAGCAAUAACUUGAGUCUGCUACAAAUGAAAAGCUUAGAACAUGCUCAAGUACCUCAACUUCACUACUAAGUCUCUGAAGUUAAGAAAGCAAGUUGGCAGCAAGACAAUACUAAAAAGACAUGCCAGCAAAAUUUACACUAUCUGCUAUGCCUAAUAGGCUAAACAAUGAAAUAGGAUAAGACAAAAAAAAGAUAGAAAAAUGGCAUAAAGGUAACAAAGGUGAAAAUAUCAUGAUCUAACAUAUUUGAAACAGAAAAAGACAAAGGAAAAAUGAAGAGAAAUGAACAAAUAUCACACAAUCAUUGUGUGCCACACCUGCCUCCUACCCCACAGGAGAGAGAGAGACUUUCAAAUCAUGACACUAAUAAGAAAAAUGAAAAGUUUCAAUAAAUUACAUCUCAAAUGGUAAUUAAAAUUAAAAACUGUCCAUUUGCAACUAUAUUCACCAAUCAUUUUCUUCAUCUCCAAUUAAUGUAUGUGUUAAAAUUAUCUCUAAUUAUUAUAUUCUUAUGUGUGAUAAUUAAAGCUAACUAUAUUUUAUAUGCAUAUUGGUUUAGAAAAAAAAAUCACAAUUAAUAAGAAGGCAAAAGGUUGUAAUCAGUUACAGAGAAAACAAAAGGUUAAAUUGAUGAUUAAAUUCACUAUAUUAUGUCAUAUUGACUAAGAAAACUACCAAAAAAAUUGUCGAUAAUUAUAACAAAUAUAACAGAAAAGGUUUAUUACUACUGAAAUUGAUAAAAAUUUGUUGUAUCCAAAUCAUAGUGUUUUAGUAUGUAUUUUGCUCAGGUUUUGUUGUAUACACUCGUUUGACAGAACAUAGAAAAUUUCCUCUUCUUAUUGUCACAAUCCAAGUAAAAUAUGCAACAACUUAGUUUAGAUAUGAUAAUCUUCCAUCUUUAGAGUUCCAUAAACUUUUAAUUGCUUUGUGUAUAAUAAAUGUUUUCUACAACUAGCAAUUGCUUAAUUUUGUUUAUUAUAUGGUUUCUUAGUCAAUAUUAUACCAACAACUUAAUUUAAAUAUGAUAAUCUUCCAUCUUCAGAGUUUUUAUAACUGAAGAAUGCACAAUUAACUAUUAAUUGCUUUGUACAAUUACCAAUUGCUUAAUUUUGUUCAUUAUAUAGUUCCUUAGUUUAUAUUAUGCCAAUAAUCAAAGUUUUGCACAAAAAUUUAAUAUAUUAAAGGUUUGAUAUUUUAGAAAAAAUAUAUUCACGAGCAAGGCACGUGAGUCAUUACUAGCGAAUCAAAGUUCAGUAAUGUUGGUGAAUGGAUGAGUAAAUAGAAGCCUAACUAUAGAUCUACAUGAGUAAACAUGUCCCGCAUGCAUUACCUGCUUCCUAGGAUAACCAAUUGUUCUACUGAUGGAUGAGAAUAAAUAUGCCAUAGCUUACAGUAAUAUUUAACGCAGAGAAGCUCACUGGAUCAACACAUUGCUUACUCUGAAUUAGAACUUAUGCAUGUACAAUCAUUAGUUGGGCUUCUAUUUUCAUGCAAAAAAUAAUAAGGAAAGUUACUUUAACUUGAAAAAAAUCAACUUAAAAGGGCCUAAUAAAAAAAUCAAUCCCUUGAUAAAUGAACCACAGGAUAAUAUCCAACAACAAAAUAAAACAAGGCAGUAUGAGGAGAAAGUUUGACAUUUAAGUGGAGGAACUGGAGUUCAACAUAUGAGGUUACCUGAACCUGAAGUUCUCUGGCAGCAAAGUCUAGUAAGUCACUCAACAGCCUUCUUUUGAACAUAGGCAAUGAUUCCUCACGUCUGUGGCAGGAAAAAUAGCAUUGAAAUUGAUGUUUUAGUAACAAUGCAAGUAUUCAUGUUGCUCUUAAACUAAAAGAAAGCUGUUAUAAUUUCAGGUAUAAUUUCAGGUAAAGAAAAUUAUAGUGAAUGAAGUUAGAUGCUGUCUCACACUGUAAGCAUGACUGUAUCAACAGAAAGCAACCUCACUAGUCACAUUAAAGUUCAUAGUCACCUAAAUAGCUUAUAUAAUCAGUAGUCAACAGCUUACAUAAGCAUAAAUGUUAGGCUUCAAUGUCCAUGGAAGAUUAUUACCUACUAUAGAUGCCAAUCUCACAGUGUUUAGUUUCACAUGUUAAAACCCCACAAACUGUUAAUUCACAUGUAUAAAAUCAGACCGAAAAUAAAAAUCCGAUAAGAAAAAGAAAAUAGGGUUUUACUCAGUCCAUUAUAUCCCAAUAUAUCCCAAUAACCCCUCUAUAAUGGCAAAAGUUGACUACAUAACAAGAAACCUAAUUUGCUAUCAUAUGUGUAAAAGAAGCAAUUACAAUCAGAGAAGCACCAAAAGAUUAACAAUAAUGAAGCAUAUGAUGUGGCUAAUUGAAGUAAAAUUACACCAUACCAGGAAAGAAGGUACUAAAGUAUUCGGUAUAUUACAGAAGAAAAGGUACAACCAAUUAAGUCCAACAAAUAUCAUCUAAAAUAAUGAAUUUGCACCAAAUUAAGCGUACAAGUGUUGACAUACAACAGAUUAUUUCAAAAAGUCCUUUCUUUAUGCUUCAACUUAGUUAAGAUAUACAAAACCUCACCAAUUAGUCCUUCAUUCCUAUUUAAUCCUUCUGGAAAAUUAUAAGUCCUAUCAAACAUUUUAGGACCAUUAAGCCCUAGUUGAUAAGCACAUCUAAAUGAUUCUGAAGUAGUUGUUCCUUAACUCCUUUUUUCCAUUUUAACCUUUGAAAUUCAAAGCUUCAAAUGAUAAAAUGUGGCAAUCCCAUUUUUAGUUUCUUUCGAUAUCUAUCAUAUAUGAAAAGUAAGGAAGUUCUUAUCUCGAAAAUGUGCAUGCUAGUACAAGCAAUAUUUCUGAUAAAGCAGCAGAAAUGAUACAAGCAAUAUUUCAUGGGACAUGUAGUGAUCUUUCUCCUGAGAAGGUGAACAUCUCAAAAGCACCCCAAUUCUCUGCCUCAUCCCUUUUACAAAUUUACCUGUCCAUUUGGCUACUAAUUAAUGUCUUACUGUUCCCACUUUUCCUGGCCUAAAUCAAACACCAAAUUCCUAUUAGCCCUAAAACCAGGAGUGCUUCUAAGCAACUCAUAAACCCUUCUCCACUUUUAGUUCAAUGCUUGUGUUUUCUAGCCAAUUUCAUAAGCAAACCCACACCUAGUUUUCCAUAGCUAGUUCACUCAUUUGGUAUAAACAUGGUCUAGAAAACAGUAUACCAACAUCCACAAAUAGCUUCAUAUAAGAAAUCCCUAAAACUAACAAAGUCAAACUAUACAUCUCUCAGUUGUUCAGAAGAAACAGGCAACCUUAGGUCCCCCACAAAGGCAAUUUAAACCACUCACAAUUUUUUUCUUUGUUUGUUUAUGAAGGGCAGAUGCCAGCAUAGAAUGAGUACUCUGAAGCAGCCUAUAAUCUGCCAAACAACAUCCAUCCAAACUUCAACACAACUGGGGUAGACUCGCUAAAUCCAAAAGAAGUAUGUAGAACAAAAACCAGUUCAAUAACCUAAAAGGGUACUCUACACCUUUAAAACCCCUUCUGUGUCCUUUCCCACCCUAAAGAAUUCUUCAAAAGUAUCAUUCAAAGCCGAAGUUUCUUUCCUCUUCUUAAAUAACCUGACUUGAUCAUAGCAUCACAAGGUAAAAGCACAAAACUUUUUGGAGUUUCAGGAUUCUAAUUACUCAGGACAGAGUGCCAUAGCACUUAAAUGCAACAUGAUGUUCACAUGAUGCAACACCAACCCCAAGAAGCUAUGAAUUGCAUUAACAUGGGAUAACCACAGCCCUCAAAGGUGUUUACAGUCGUUAUUAGUUCAACAAUAAUAUCACCCACACAUGAUUGAAGGCUUCAAAUUACCAAGUACAUAUAAACAAGAAGGACAUGCACUUGGAGACAUGCAAGCAACAGAAUGACUAAUUUCAUUAGCUCAUACAACCAAAAGGAAGCCACAGUUUACUAUUAGAGGACACAAGAAUAUAGGAACGCCACUAAGAUUACUAAUGUUCUUUCCAAGACAAACUUAACAUGGAAACUAGGUCCAAUCUCAAUAUUGUGAAUUCCUACUGUAUCUUAGACCUUCUGAAAAUCAGUGACCAUUGGAGGCAGUUAAGACAAACAACAUAAGUUGAUAUUUUCUAACAAUUUCAGAAAGGUAGAACUGAUAUGUAGUGGCACCUGAUUCUUUGGUCUCCUGUGCUAGAACCACCCACCAUCGAGAGCCACUCUGCACAAUGAAUUGUAGCUUCAAUAUCCUGUCAAAGCGAAGUAUUCAACGAAUAACAUGAAUGAAGCGGAAGGAGACAGAAGUUUAGAAGGUUAUACAGAACAGAAAGGUUCGUCAGAUACCAGAGGGAAAAAAAUCAAACAUACAAAAACAAAGGUGAAGCUCACAGAAUUAUGUCAGGUAGCAAUCAAGUGGAGAGGCACUUUGAUAGGCUACUACACCUUAAGCAACAAAAUACUACAUUUUGUUCUCUUUUCUUCCAUAAACGAAGUACUAUAUUGGCAAGCAAUAUAAGAUCCAAUGCCAAAAUUAAUGAGGCCCUAGUCUCCUUUAUUGACUCUAAUUAAUGGGUCUAUAAAUAGACAACAUUUACAUAGGCCCUGUUUGACAACUCAAUUCAACGCUUAAUGGGUUCAAACCUUAAUAUGUUCAGACAUGUUUGAUAACCAAAAAUAGAAGGUCUUAGGUUCCAUAUGAAUUAGGUAUUUUUUGGGUGUUUUUCAAAAAUUUUUCUAUGGCUGUAUAUGUGAAAAACUUUUACUGUAGAUAGUUAGAUGUUUUUAGAGGUAGGUUCCACAUGAAUUAGGUAUUUUUUGGGGUGUUUUUCAAAAAUUUUUCUAUGGCGGUAUAUGUGAAAAACUUUUACUGUAGAUAGUUAGAUGUUUUUAGAGGUGUUUUUGAUGAUGUAUUUUGGGAUAUUUUAGAAUUUAAAAUUGUUUUAGGGCAUUUUUUGAAAAUUGAAAAUAAUACCACCCAUCACCACCACCACCCACCCCCUCCCUCCUCUCUCCCCCCUCUCCCACUUUCUCCCCCUCCUUCCUCCUCCCCUCCCCUCCCUUCCCCCGCCUCCCCCAUCCCAUCUGAUCGCAGCCUCUGUUUGGCACCCCCUGUUUGGAGCAUUUCAAAAAGAUUUUUCUCUUUUAAACCGCCUUCUAUAGUAACUUGCUAAAAACACCCCAAAACACCUAAAAUAGAUACUGAACAAAAACACCCCACCAUCACCUCCACCCUUCCACCGCCACACCCCCUCACUCAUCCUGUCCUAGGAGGGGUAAGGGAUCAAGGUGGUGGUUAGGAGGUGGUGGGGAGGAUUGAAGGGGAGAAGGAGAGGGGUGGCAGGUGAGAGAGGGACAAGGAGAGGGAAAAAGGUGUUUUGGACAAACACCAAUAUAUCAUAAAACAUCUACAAUAAGCUCCAGUAAGUUUUAGACAAACACACCAAAAACCACACCAUCUAAACAGACCCAAAAAUCACUAACAAAUGUUUAUUUAUUAGGUAAGUUAAAGAGGAGAUGGCAAACUUUGCCAUUGCCUUGAUAUACUUUAUAUAGGAUACUGAUAGAAAAAUGAUUCAAUUGACGGCCUGCAAUCAUCUAAAUAUCGCAUAAUGUUUCAAGUACACUUGCUAAUUACUUUCAAUAUUCUUUUUUUAGAUCUGUCAAAGUGUAUUUUGUAUUAUCUUGUUGUGGAUUGUGAUUUUUUUAUAGAAAAUUUUUACCAUUUUUCGUAAUACACAUUUUUCAUUUAUGCCUUUUAUUCUCAUAUACAUUAAAUUAGUUACAGUAAGUUUUUUUAUAUUAAAAAUUCUAAAAAGCCAAUCCAAACGAAAAUUCUGUGAUCCUCAUUUUAACGUAAAAGUUUAGUUAAGUCAGUAGUAUUUCAUUACCUUUUUUCUUUUCUUUUUUUUUGAUUUUUCUUUCUAUAAGUCUAGUUUCGGAUGUUUUUGUCCCUAAAUGAUAAAACAAGGAUAAGAAAAGCAAAAAAAACACCAAGUAAACCACCUUGUAAAGUUAAGCACACUGCACACAUAAACAUAGGCCUUAAUCCCUGUUUUGAUUGGCCAUUAUUUGCAAAAAAUAAAAUAAAAUAAAAUUAUUUGCUUGUUUCACAAGUAUCAUUUUCGAUCCUAUUUUUUAUUUUACAUGCACUACAUAACCAAAAAAGAAUAAAAAUUACGGUAAUCAUUUAAAAAAUUCAAAAUAAUCUCGUAUCCAAAUACAAGCUAAUUAUUAGAGCUCCUUUCUCUAUCUUGGAGAGUGUACAUUGAUUUCUCUCUUUCAUAAGAGUUCUAAAAAUUCAAACACAAAAUUCAAAAACACAAAAGGCCCAAGCUCUAAACUUCAGUGAAGAUAUAUUCAAUGCUCUGAGGAGAUUAAAUCAAGGAAGGUAAUGGGAAUUAAAAGCUAUUGUGGUAGUUUAUUGAUCAUUCAGUAAAAGGACGAAGCUCUGUACUUAGUCAUAUGCUGAUGACAGGUAAAUUUGAAGCUAAAAUUCUGCACCUCUGUUUGUUUCUUUAGUAUGAUAGUUAGGUAGCUGUAGUGUUCUGUUUCCUUUAGUGUUGUACAUUGUGCUCUGUCUCUUGUUGUUUCUUUGUUUUUAGCAGCAUAGUGUCAGUUUCUUCCUGAUUUUCUACUCUAAUACUCUUAUAGUUAGCUAGUCACCAUUUAGAGGAAGUGUGGUAUACUGUGUUAAACUUUUGUAGACACUAUGGAGAAUGAACUAGUAGGAAGAAUACAAAAAUUUGUUCUUUCGAGCAGAGAGUUGGGGAAGGACAGAUUUGGAUUUGGAUUUAGGAGACACUGGCUCGGGAAUAAAGGAUAGUCAAGCCAGUUUAGUGGGAAGAAUAAUGAGGAAAAAAAUAGUUAACUAUGUGGGUGUCAAAAUUUUUGUUACUAUAGCCUGGGACUACUCUAGGGAGAUAAAGAUAGUGGAACUAGGGCCUAAUUUGUUCCAGUUCAGUAUGCCAAAGGAAGAAGACAUAGUUAGAAUCUUAAAUGGAGGACUAUGGAUCAUAGAUAGUCAAAUUCUGGUGUUGAAAGAAUGGGAAGAGGGAACAGAAGAAGACAAUUCAGCAUUUAACAUAGCUCCACUAUGGGUACAAGUUUGGAACCUGCCAAUUCACUGGGUAUCUAGAAAGGUUGGAACAAAAUUUGGGACUGUGUUCAAUAAGGUAAAAGAGGUUAUCAUCUCAUAAAGUGGAGGAAAAAAAGGAAGGCACAUUAAGCUGUUGAUAAUGGAAGACAUAUCACAACCCUUAAUGAGGGGAUCGAUAGUGAAACUCAAUGGUGUGAUGAAAUGGAUUAGGUUCAAGUAUGAAUGGUGUCCAGAUUUUUGCUAUAAGUUAAUGUGAUGUUGUUGGAUACAGUGAAAGAAACUGCAAAACAGUAAUGACAGUUGAGAGAGGGCAACAAGAGAAUCAGUAUGGCUCUUGGAUAAGAGUUAGAGGAGGGAGAGUGUCACCUCAAAAGUCCUAUACAACAAGCAUGUAUAACAAAGUCAAGGUACUUUAGGGUUUCAAGGAUGGAAAAUUAGUGCCUUAAGGGUCCUCGGAGGAAGAGAGAGGUAGAUAAUGAAAACUCUGAUAGAUGAUGCUAGUGCAAUAGAGAAAAAGGCAAUUAUUGUAACAAAUGUUAAAGAGAGGAUUGGAAAGGAGUGGGAGAAAGGAUAGUUGAAGCAGUUAUUGGUGGGGAAUGAAAAGGCUCCUAUAGAUAACCCCACUCAGAGAACUAGUCAGAAUGAUGUUAGUAGUGAUCAAUACUCUAGAAGGAGUCUCAUAUAGGAAGGAAUGUAUGAAUUGAAAAUUAGAAACAAUGUUACAGAAAGAGAAGACAAUGAAGGAAAGUAGGAAAAUAAGCAAAAUCAUGGGAGGCAAAGUGGUCAGAAUAGGAAUAGGAAGGGAAUGGGAAGGGUCAAAAGGAAGAGGAAGGUAAAAAACAGAAUGAGGAGAGGGACCAAAUAAUGAUCGAUGAGGGAGCCUCUGGAAGAAUAAGGAUGGCUGCAAUGAGAAAAGAAAGGAGAAUGAGCAAACAGAUUAAAUCACCAGCAAAAAAAAAAAAAAAAACAGUCAUUGAAGGAAUUGAAUGGGAAGUACAACAAACAGAAAGUGCAAGAGAAAAGAAAAUUCAACUUAAGGGAUAAAGAUAUGAUGGAGGUAGAAGUAGAGGAUUAAGAUCAGAAAAGAAUAAAGUUAAUGACAAUAAGACAGAAGAGGUCAACAGGGAAGAAGGGGUGAAGGCCAGUCCAAUCUGGUCUUCAACACCAAUAUAAGAACACUAGUGUGGAAUUGUCAAGGUGGAGGAAGUCACUUGACAAUUUCCCAACUGAAGGAGGUUAACAACCCUCUCUCCCCCAACAUAAUCUUUUUGAGUGAAACAAAAAAAAAGACUGCUUUCACAAAAAAGGUGAAAAGAAGAAUGAAGUUUGAUGAGUGCUUUGUUGUGGAUGCUGUUGGGAAAUUAGGUAGUAUGGUAUUAAUAUGGAACAAUGAUGUCAAAAUAUUGAAGAUAAAUCAGUCAGCUCUAACCAUUGAAGCACAUGUGGUCGAUACAGAAACACAACUGGAUUAGUGGUUUAUAGGAAUCUAUGCAAGUUGUCAAGGCCAAAUUUAAAGGAACCAAUUGAGAGCCACUAAUAAGAGAAAAGUAUUAUGGGGAAGUAGAUGAUUAUAACAGGUGAUUUUAAUGACAUUACAUCUAAUGAAGAGAAAUAUGGAGGUAAGGCAAGAGAGGAUUGGAGCUUUGGGAAUUUUAGAAGUUUCAUUGAUGAGAAUAAACUCAUAGACAUAGGAUUUGAAGAUAAUCCCUCGAUCUGGUGUAAUAACUGGAAAAAUAAGGGACACGUGAGGCAAAGAUUAGAUAGAACUCUAUGUAGUUUAAACUAGUUCCAGUCCUUUGACAGAGUUAAAUGUUACCAUGUGAAAAACAAUGGUUCAAAUCACAGCAUGCUGAUGAUUGACAAUAGCCCUCAGAAUAGGAGAUCUUUCUUUGACAAGAGAUGGAUGCAACAUGAAGAUAUAUACCAAGUCAUUAGAAAUGCAUAAGACGUUAUGGUGGAUGGAUCAAAGAUAUUCAGGAUAACCAAGAAAAUUACAAACUACACAAUAGCUUUCUUAAAAUGGAACAACAAUUUCCAAAAUAACUCAAGGAAGAAGAUCAAUGUAAUCAAGCAUCAAAUAGAGAACCUGGAAAAAACAAAUACGGUAGACAAGAAAAAAUAAAUAAAGGAACUGAAAUCCCAACUGAAGAAAGCUUUUUAGAAGAAGAAUUGUACCAAAGCUAAAAAAUAAGAUGCAAUUGGCUUAAGGAGGGGCAUAAAAAUACACAAUACUUUCAUGCUUACGUCAAAGGGAAAAGGAAAAGGAACAUAAUUCAGAAUCUGCAAAGAGAGGACGGUUCUUGGACAAAAGAGGAAGAGGAGGUAGGAAGUGAGGUAGCAAACUAUUAUGACCAACUCUUUGACAAUCCUAGAGCAGAAUGUCUAGAUGAAGUUUUGGAUGGUAUACCACACACCAUUUCCAACCAAAUGAAUGAGUGUCAACUAGGAGAGUAGAUGAAGAGGAAAUCAGGAUAACAGUUUUUUCUAUGAAUCCUAACAAAUCUCCAGGUACAGAUGGGAUAAGUCCUUUAUAUUUUCAAAAAUUUUGGUACCUCACUGUAAUCCCAAGGAGGAUAUAAUCCCAGCUAUCCAAACUUUCUUCCAUACUGGACUGAUACUCAAAUCUUUGAACCACACUGUAAUCUCCCUAAUCCCCAAAGGGGACAAUCCCGCCAAUUUGAAGCUCUAUAGACCAAUAAGUCUCUGUAGAGCCCUAUACAAAAUUAUCUUUAAAAUUCUCUCCAACAGACUCAAAAAAGUCCUGAAUGAAUGUAUCAGUAGAAACCAAGCUGUUUUUGUCUUUGGUAGACAGAUUUUAGACAAUGUUAUUAUCUCCCAUGAAUUUUUUGAACUAUUUAAAGAAUAAAAGACAAGGGGAACAUGAGUUUUUUGCUUUGAAAUUAGAUAUGUCAAAAGCAUAUAACAGAGUGGAGUAGAAGUUCUGGGAAGAGAUUAUGAGAAGAAUGACAUUUUGUGAAAUGUGGAUCAAAUGGAUAAUGAGUUGUGUUUCAAGAGUUAGUUACUCUUUCUAUAUCAAUGGAGAUCUCAAAGGCUAAGUAACACCUAAGAGAGGAAUCAGACAAGGAUAUCCUUUAUUUUCCUAUUUGUUUUUACUGUGUUCUGAAGGCUUCACUAACCUAUUGAGAAAAGCAUAAAAGGAAAAGAGAAUAACCGGGAUGAGGAUAUGUAGACAAGGGCGAUCAAUGACUUAUCUAUUUUUUGCAGACAACACCCUAAUAUUUAGCAAAGUAGACAAAAAGGAAGCAGAAAAGCUGAAGCAGAUUUUGAAAGUGUGUGAAAAAAACUAAGAGCAAGUGAUUAUCAUGGAAAAACCCUCAGUGUUCUUUAGCAGAAAUGCACCACAAGAAGCACAGGAAAGAAUAAGUUCACAACUUGGAAAUGUUUAAAUAGUGACUCAAGGGAAAUAUCUGAAAUUACCAAUAGUCAUUACAAGGACAAAACAGCAAGUCUUUGGCAUCAUAAAAGACAACUAUGAGAAAAGGAUGAAACAGUGAAAGAAUAAACUUCUCAGCAUUACUGGGAAAGAAGUUCUACUUAAAGUAGUGGCCAUGGCACUGCCUACUUAUACAAUAUCCUGCUUCAAGUUACUAAUAGGGCUAUGUAAAGAACUAAGUAUCAUGAUGUCCAAUUUCUAGUGGGGAGAGGAGAAUGGGAGGAAAAAGAUCCACUGGUGUUCUUAGAAGAUAAUGACACAACAAAAGGAAAGAGAGGGGGACUAGGAUUUAGGGACCUGCAAAGUUUCAAUAGAGCAAUACUGGAAAAACAAGUUUAGAGGAUGGCCACAAACCCUAAUUCUCUACUAUCUAAGGUACUAAAGGCCAAAUACUAGCCCUAUGAGUCAAUCUUCAUAUGCAAAAUCAAGCAGAACUCUUCUUAGAUCUGGAAGAGUUUGAUGGAAGUUACGGACACAGUAGAAAAUGGAACCUUUAGAAAAAUUAAAAAUGGCAAGAGGACAAAAAUAUGGGAGGACAAGUGGAUACCAAGUAAUACUCAAGGAGCACCAACAUCAGCUAAGCCACAGGAUUGCACUAUCAAUAAUGUGGAACAGCUGAUCCAAGGUUACAGAUGGAAAAUGCCCCUUGUAUUUAAGCUUUUCAACGAUGAGGAAGCCGAGGGAAUCCUGAGGAUAUCCAUUAGUUUGGCUGACAAAGAAGUUAGUCUCUUCUAAAUACACAAUGGGAAUGGAGAAUACACAGUAACCUCAAUUUACAAUAAACUUAAUAGAAAUGAUCAUAUGCAGCAAAGAGAAGGCCAGAAGGAAGGGUCAAGUCUGAGGGAUGAUAAACAAUGGAAAGUCUUGUUGAAGAUCAACAUUAAACACAAGAUAAAGUUGUUCUUGUGGAAAUGUUUGAACAUAGCAUUACUAGUGAAUGAGGUCAUAUUCAAUAGAAUCAAAAUAGGAUCACCCGUAUGCAGAUGCUGUGGAGAGGACAUAGAAACUAUUGAACACCUAUUUUUUCAGUGCAGGACUACUAAAGAGAUAUGGCAUUUAGCUCCAUUGAAUUGAGACGGGCUUGAAGAUCAAAGAGGAGACUUUAAGAAAUGGGAGAGUUCUCUAACAAAAGCCAGGUGUAGAGUCGAAGGCAUGAAACAUGUAACCAUAACAGCUAAUAUUCUAUGACAGACUUGAAAAGUUAGGAAUGACAGGACUUUUGACCACAUAAAAAAACAACCAUUUAAAAUUGUCCAAAAGGCACAUUAUGAAUGGUUGGAAUAUAAGGAAGCUAAGGAUCAAGAGAAAAUGAUGAGCAUGCUGGAAACACUAAGAGCAGAAGAAAAGUAGCAAGAUAGGAAGGGAGGGUUUGGUCUCAUUCAUCUAAGUAUAGCAGCAAAACAGAAGACAGGAAGCCGGGAGACGGGAAUUGGAAUAGUGGCAGAAGGUGAUAACACACAGGUGCUAGCUCAAUGGGCCCUCAAGGAAGCUAGGGCAGGUAACAACCUCACGAAUCAAGCAGUGGCCAUUAAGCUAGCAUUAUGCAAGGCAAGAGAGCAGAAAUGGGAGAAGAUCAAGGUGAAGGUUAGACAUAAGCAAUUGCUGAAGAUGAUACAGACCAGCAACUCCAAAGACAUGGCAUUAUACUCUUAUUUAGAUGACAUCGGAAAUUUAUGCUCCAUGUUUGCAGAAUGCUCAUUUAUUUUGUCCAUUAAUCAAAUUGAGGAUAGAGCUGGAUAUGUUUUGAUGAGGAGUAGUUUCAUCCUCAGUGCCAAGGCGCACUUGUAUAGCUGACUUGGACAUUUGCUUAACAAUUGUAGAGUUUACCUAAUAUUAAUAAUAUUACUUAUCGUUUCUAGGGAAAAAAAAAUACAAGCUAAUAUUAUCAAGUGAUCAAAAGGCAUAGCCGCAUUAUGAGAGUUAAUUUUGGGCAGCCAUCCCAAUGAAGCAUUAUGCAAGUGUUUAUGCAAGAGGAGCUUCAAAGUUUGACGCAGCUUGGACCAGAACAAGCAAUACAAGCAGUGAAAUGGCAAAUCUUAGCAAAUUUGCUGCAGCUUUAACUUUAUUUCAAUAUGCGUAGGCAAAAAGUAGCUCGAGUCAAUUACAUAAUCAAAUCGUUUACUGGAAUCUACAGUGAUCAAAUCGUUUACUGGAAUCUACAGCUAAAGUAACUUUCUACGGAUUUCAGCGAUUAGAUCUGGUCCCUAUUGAGCAGUCAAGAUAAACUCAACAAUAACUUUCAUAUACUUGAAUACCAAAGAGGAAACGAAAAAAAAGGUAGAUCAAAAAAUAAAUGUAAUAUACACAUCUCAAGGGCUGCCUUCUCGUGCCUCAAUUUAACAGAACUUCCAACUCAAAAAAAUCUCCUCAACAGCCCUGUGGUACAUCUAGUAUCAUGUCACACCCUGUUGUAGCUGUACUUAUCCCACCUCUUAAACGUAUAUGAUACACUCACAAAGACCACUGAUGAAUGCACAAUGCUGGAUCAGUUUCUGUCAGAUGCAUGGCCAAGUUAAGCCGUUGAACGGGACAUUGUACAACGUAAAGCAAACUUUUCCCUGGUGUCCGGAUAAAUCCAGCAGUGCAUAAAAUCCAUCUCAUUCAAAAUUUAAUCAAUGUACAAGAUCUCAAAACUUUCAUUUUAUAAGAGGGCUGAGCCCAUCACCUUCCCAACCCAGCUUGAGCAUAUGAUCCACAACCUUCAAGCUUAACUGCAUGGCGGGGAGAAAAAAAAAAGUUUAAACUAAGUAAUCAAAUGCACAACUGUAUCUACAAUGCCAAAACUACAUCAGUUUCAACAUCUAGCUGAUAGUGUUAUUUAAGUACUCAGGCACAGCCACGGAGGACAGUUGUCUGAUGUUUACUUGUACAAAGAAAAUGUAGAAAGAUUUCUAUACUAUGACUAAAAGAUCUUUUUUCCUCUCAGUGUUUGAUGAAUAUGACUUCAUGAUCAUCUCUAGUUUGUGUUUUUGUUUAUGUAUGUUCCAGUCAUCUCUAAUGUGUGUGUGUGAGUGUUCUGCUUUUGUUGGCAUAACCUCUAGUGUGUGUUAUUCAACUGUAAAUUAGAAACCAUAAUUAUACUUUCAUGUUCAAUAAAGGAUGAAUAAACCACAUGAUUAAAACUAACAACAAAAUCGAAGGAUUUGGUAGAUCAACCCGCAAAUACCAGAGGGUUGACUACAAACAGGUAGACCUGAGUUACUUAUUAGAGGGUUGUGACCUGCACGCCCAAUUGGGCUACAAAGUCUUUUAACUUUUCCAGUCAAAACUUGCGAGAAAUCCAAACACGAGAACUAUUAUGACUUAUUACAGUCAAGUACAUUUUUCCCUGUGAGAAUCAGUAUUCAUGACAUUAAAGUUGAACCAAAAGAAAUUCCAUUGGGCAUUUGAUCAAUGACCAGCAGGUUCCAAUGGAAAACACAAUCAGGUAGCAAAGAGAACAAAAAGAUAAGUUUUGCUUGAUGACAGCUUUCAAACUCAUCAUCUCACAAGGAGCAGAGCCUAGUUGAGAAUUCACUGAAUGCAUUCAUAAGCUCAAUGAAAGUUAGCUAUCAGUGAGACAAUUAUAAUGGAAAGUACUAAAAUCACGAAAUGGAAAAUACUAGCUAGUCUCAUAGGACAUGACCCAAACAAGUAAGCUGUUGACUGAGUUUGAAAUCUUCUUUUCUCCAUCAGCAUAGGGAUUUGCUACCGAGAAAGAACAUUUCAGCCUUCCUAAACUGAGUGCCGAAGUUUAAGGUGGCAUGUAAUUAACAAAUCUAAUGAAUUGAAAAGUAGGAAUGCGUAAAUUCCUUUCUUUUACCAACCCAGAAAAAAACAACCACAUAAGAUUCCAGGUCCGAUAAUUUUGUGCACAGAAAGUUUAAAAGCAAAAUUUCAUACUUCACAUGGUUAGCAAGAGUAGAUAUGGUGUUUCUGCACAGAUCAGAAAGGUAGGUUCAACAAUCCAAUUUGCUCAAAUGAAAUAAUGCAUGAACAAAAUUCAGUCUAAAAACGAAGAGAAAGAAUAACUAGCACAAAGAGAAUAUGAAGAAUUCUUGUAUGCUUACAGCGGGGUCAGUGAAAAUUAUCAACUGUUUAUCAGCUGUGGACACAAUAAGAUAUGUGUUUUCCUUGUUCAAAGCCAUAGCCAUAAUGUCUUGCCCUUCUCCCAGUUUCAUGUUGUGGAAUACCUGCAAACAAUAUGAAAAUGCUAUGCUAGUACCAAUAAUGCAAGUUCUGAGUCUAGGAAAAGGUGCUUUUAACGUAAAGCAUUGUAACAUGGCAUGUCCCCUAAAAAGUAGACGAAGAUGUGCUAUUGUCUGAGUACAGAUUAUGAUUUGCUUCAUAAAUUUCAGUAUAUGCUUGCACUUGCAAUCCACGACUCGAGGAAAAUAAAUGAAUGGAUGAUACAUCUACAUUUUCUCACAUGAAACUAAAAGAUGGAGCAGUAAUCGUGUUCAUAAUAGAUAUACUCUUACCUUUAACGAAUGUAGAUCGAAGAAGCAAAUUGAAGGUAGUGGAAUACUCAAUCUGUUUUCUUCAUUUGAUCCAAUAUCAAAACUUUCACUUCCGGCUCUACUCUUCAAAUUUGUGCUGCUGUCAUAAACUCCAUCACUAUCCAGUGAAGGAUUUAGACCAACCAAAGCAAAAUGCCCAUCGACAGAAACCUCCAUGCAACUAAUGCUCGAGGCAGAAGGAAGUUGCGAUCUGGCAAUAAAAGUUCCAUUAAGAGAAAAGGUGCUUAGUGCAUUAAGUUGUUUACUCCAAGCCAAAAUUAUCCCAUCAGAAGAAAGACAGAUUGCAUGAGCCUCCACACCACGAAGCCUUCGGAUCAAACGUCCUUUUUUAAUCGAGUGAAGCAGCAUAUCCGACGAUUUGGAGCAUGAAGCAACAAUUCCAAGAUCAGAACUGACAGCACAGCACAAUAUUUCCCCAAGGUGGCCUCGCAGAACAUGUAUAGGACCCUCAAUACGAUGCCUCCUUUUUUCAGCUAAGGUGUUUGUAGUACUGCUGCUAGUGGAAGUUGGUGUGCUUGACGGAGUGGAUGGCUCAACUGUGCCACCUGAGCGAGAAGUGGAUGCACGAUGCAGUCUCCAAAGGAGAACUGUUGCAUCUCGAGAUCCUGUCACCAGAUAGCUGCUAUCAGGAGACAAAGCCACGCAAGUUACAGGAGCACAAUGUCCUCGAGCUAUUUCCAAGGUUUUUGCUCCAUCCACUGAUAUCAGCCUGACACUGUUAUCCACAUGGCCACCUAAACAAAUUUCCAAAAAAAUUGGAAGUUAUCAAGUAAGCUACAUAAAACAGAAUAAAAUCAAUCACUAGAAGCCAAGAAGAGUGGUUGAAACUGUAUCCUGGAAGAUCUAUAAGUUGUGUAGAGAAAGAAGGGCCCUUGAAAGUUCUCCAAACUGCCCAAUUAGAACCACUGUCCAAGCACGCUAAAUAACACUAGUCCAGCUUUUCUUGUAGAUCAUGGUCAGACAGCAUUAAUAAAGCCCAUAGCAUGUGAUCCAAGAAAAAAUGCACCGGAAUAUCAGUACUAUGGUGAUGACUAUUACAAGAAAUGAGAUAUUAUUUAAAUCCAAUAAGUAACACAACAAGCUCGUGACUGCAUUUUGUAGAUUCUGCAUAAAUCAAGAAUUUCUGUGUCCCUUUCUCCCUCGGCACGAUUACAAUGCAUUGAGAACUUCUAUGAAAUUCAUUAAGGAAGUUCUGCUUAAAUAUUUUAUUUUAGAUUUAGUACUCCCUGAAAAGCCAAGUAAACAUUUACAGUUUAAAAACUGAAAAUCAGAUCUGAAGAAAAUGGUGAAUAGAACUAUUACUAUAUGACUACAGGAUAUAUCAUAUUUGAUGAUAUUUUAUGUAAUUGCCAACAGCACAUUAUCUUUUAUACUAAAAAAGAAAUUACUUCCCAAAAUCACAAUAAUAUACAUCAAUGUGCUUACCAGUGACAAUCUCUUUGUCGCAUGUGAUGGCAACUAUAGCUGAGCUACUAAUACCAGAAGUUGAAUAAGCCAGUGACUGGGGAAAAUGCCAAUCCUCAGGCCCAGAGCCAGUUGGCCCUUUAAACAUGCGCAUAAAUGUUCCUCCAGCAGAACUAGCAUUAGGCUUCCCAUGUUGAAAAAGAAAAGGUGUCCCCUGACCAUCAGGGGUAUUUGGCUGCCAUUUAUGCUCCGCUAUAUGGGCAGCAGGGGCAUGUAGAUCAACAGUGAUAACAGAAUCUGAAGAUGCUAACAUGGCAGCAGCAGGAAUAUUGCAGCGUUCUGGAUGAGGAACUGCAUAAGGUUUAACUUCUUUGGGAUUCCGGAAGAUUGUCUGCUAGGAGGGAAUCAACUGAAUCAUUAGCAAAUCAAAACUUCCAAAAAGGGCAUGGUGGUAAACACAGAGCAGCAGCCUAGUUAUGGAAAAAGUGGUGACCUGUGACAAAUACAAGAUCACAAGGCAUAAUUCUCUAGGCCUCUUGAAAACUAUUUUAGAACAUCAAUUCUUUAAAAGCUUUGGAUAAAGUUUUAAAUUAGACCACAUAACACCCAAUACUAAAUAAGUAAGCCACUAGUCGAACAAAAAGGAUGACAGCUACUCUUAAAGAUUGGCAGCUGUGCAGGUCCUCUGGUCGUUUAUUUUUUUUUUUUUCCAAUUUAGAGUAAAAUAAAUUGACAUUUCCUAAACUCAGUUUGGUUCAGAAACUUCCCAUACAGCUUUUGAAACUGCUUUGCUCUCCUCUCAAGUUUCAUACCACUCUACUUUAACAUCACAGAGUCAAUGCACCACUAUCCUUUUGUUCACUGAGAUGAAUACCUUUCCUGAUGUUAAAAUUUUCCUUAUAAAAACAAAAGAGAGGGUCACAAUAGAUCAUAGAUCAUCAAUGAUGUGACUUUUACAUGCAUAAAUUAUAAAAAACUUUCAGAAGUUCGGGAAUUUGUUCUUGGUUAUGUGCAAAUCAUUUCCACACAUAAUAUCGGAAAUCUUUUAGUUUUAAAUAGCUCAAGGUCCACCUGAUUAUCAGAAAACUCUGUGGAGUAAUUCACAUUUACUCCUUAUUUUAUCGUAUCUCAGUUUCUAGCAAUUCCUAAUACUUGAAUGCACGCUCUUCAUAGGAAUGCAUUGGUAGCUUCACAUGCAAUGAGCAAAAGAUGCUUAAAUUCUUUUAGCAACAGAGAUGUUUAGACAGUAUCAUUGAACCUGUAGCUCUCACAACCAGAUUAGCAAUCAAUGCAUUUACCUAGAAGAUAUAGAGUUAUUUCAAAUCUUCAAUACAAAAAGAACACUAAAGUCGUGGCUGUUGCAGGCAAAACAAAUCCUCUGGGGUUUUUGGAGAACAUAGAUUGCUCUUAGCAUUUCGCAACUAGUCUUGUACACCUAUCAGGUAUAUUCAAAUUUCAACUCUUUAAUCUUAUCAAAUCCACAGGAAAACCAGCAGUUCACUCAAUCUCCUUAAUUGAAAUCAAAAUGAGAUUAUUAAGGGCUUGUUUGAUAACUCUACUUAAAUGCUGAAAAUUAAUUCAUUCAGAACUUAUUGAAAUCAAUCUCCCUAAUUGAAAUCAAAAUGAGAUUAUUAUGGGCAUGUUUGAUAAGUCUACUUAAAUGCUGAAAAUUAGUUCAUUCAGAACUUAUUGAAUUCAGCAUGUCUGAUAACAGAAAUGCCUUACCACUUAAUGUAUCAAGCACUGCUUAAUUUCUUUACAAAUUUUAAGUGAAAAAUUUUCACUGAAUUUUCUGAAUUGACUACACAUACUAUAGCUCUCAUACAUAUAACACAUUUUCAUACAUGCUCUCACACAAAAUACCCAUUCUCAUUCUGUUCACACAUGCAUGCAAAUAUACACUCUCCCAUACAAAUAUGCACGCUUAAUCACCAACUCUAAACUGUUUCAUUAUUUUCUCUCUCUCAAACACACACAUUUUUCUUUCUCUCUAAAUACACAAACAAAGGUAAUUUUUAAAAGAUAAAAACAUAAUAUUUUUGCGACAUUUCAAUUCAGCACUACAAUUCAGUUAGUUAUUAAACAGAAAUAACUUAAUCAAUUCAGCAACUUAAUACUCUCAGCACUUAAUUUUCAGACUUCAGAACUCAGAUUUCAGACUCCAGUCUUAUCAAACAGUAGUCUUCCAUUAUAUAAAGAUGGGAACCAUCUAAUAAAGUGGUUUAUCAAGAAUCUUGCAGCUGAAUUGGAAUAAUCUUAAUAAUUAAAGUUUGUGCUGCCUAGAUAGAAAUAAGGGGAAAGAAAAAACUUUAUUUUUGUUUGCAAUGUGGUCCCUUAGAUUACCUGUAAGUGAAGAACAUCAGCUAGUGGAAACCUCUUCAUGUGAGGGAUAGUUAGAAGUUGUGAUGGAGUUUGCCCAAAGUAUGCAAUCUGAUCUUGUGUAGCACGUUGUUGUACCUGUUGAAGAAAUAUGGCAACAUUAGGAACUUGCUUCACAGAAUGAACCACCAAAACUUAAAAUAAUAAGUUAAUGAUGUCAGCAUUGACUUACAGGGUCCAAUAUCUUGUCAAUGUCCACAGUUCCCUCAUAGGUGAUGUAGAAGAAUACAUUGUUAGCCUGUAUAGCUUCUUUUCCCCGUUGCUUAUACCUGAAUGGUGAAAAGUUUGUCCGAAGACCACAUUGAGUAUUAUAAUCCAGACAUUGUUGCUUCCAUUGAUUGCAAGACAGUACAUUUAAGGAGAAACAGAAUAGGAAGAUGAGCUUUCACAAAUAAAGUAAACUUGCCCAAAUAUGAGAUCAAUCCAUUCAUGCAAGUGCGCUGAAACAUGCUCACUCUCAAGAGCCAUUCGGUGCUUUUGAAUGAAGUCAACUGGAUUUUUAGCCCAAGGAGGAAGCCUGACUGAGUCUGACAAAGAAAAGUAGUGAGAAAGGGAUGGGGAAGUAUAUUGUUAAUCAUUCUGUCAGUCGUCCUACCAUUACAUCAUAAUGGAAAAGAAAAUUUACCAAGCUUUUCUCCUAACUGUGUUGUGCCAAAGUCAAUGGAGUUCUCAUUAGUCAACACUUCAGGGAGGUAAAACAGCUCAGGAACCUGAAAGAUGAUAUCCCGGUAAUGUCUCAACUAAGCAAAACCAAACAUGUGCCAGACAAGGACACAUCAUGGCCAAAGAAAAGCAAAUAAAUUACUCCACCCAUAGAUUCUUUACCAAUUCCUUGACGUCACUCAUGUCCUCGAGAACUCCGUUCCAUGUUGCAACAAUAUCAGAAAACAUUCUGUCUGCAUGAUCAAAUUUCCCACCUUGUAGUUGAAUAGAGAGGGUAGUGAAAGGCUCAAGUCGAACAAGAUAAUACAAUACCUGUUAAAAGAGCCUCAAAAAACAUAUUAGACAACAACCAUCAUAAGCUCCAAAAUCUGAGUGCCCAUGUCAGUGAAAAUGUAGAAAUUUUGAAAAAUAUAUAACAGUACAAAAAGGCAGAGACCAUUUAGAAGUCAAAAGCUUAGUGGAUAAAGAAAGCAUAGGUAUGAAAAUUGCAGGUGGAUCAAGCAAUUCUUAUGCAAGCAUGCCACUUUUGAAGUCAGAGUCAGAAAGUGUGUUAAGCGUAUCAUGUUUGGCAUUAUAUAUGUGAAAUUAUGAAAAACAAACUGUAAAAUUAUUUAAGCAAUCUGACUGGAGCCUAGGUCUGGCUCAAGGAAUAAUAUAUUUUUCAUUAGUUUAUUUUGCCAAUUAAAAAUGGCUUAUUUAAUCCACAAUCAGCAGUUAUAACCAAGUUACAACCGAAUAAC